GACGUAUCGGUUGUUGCUUCCCUCUGCAGCCGUCUCCCUGCGCCUUUAUUCCGCUCUAAAUCCCAUCGCCUCGCCCCCUCCGCCGUGUCCUCGCUCCUCCACCGGCGCUCCCGGUGACGCUCCUCCGCCGUCGCGUCGCCCGGCGGAGUUCAUUCGGUGCUGUCCCAGCUGGUGAGUUGAUCCGAUCGGAAAUUUGCCGGGGAUUGGGUUCCAGACAAGAAGAUGGAGUCCUGAGCUCGCUCGCCUCUGUUUUCCCCCACUUCUUCGUAGAUCUCUUCUUGAGCAUGUUGACAUUUUUGUUGUGUAAUACUUUUGAGAUGCCACAUAAUCUGCAAUAAGAACAAUAGUAGGCUAUAUUAUAUUUUUGAAGGGAUGAAAGGGGGAAUCUUACAGAAAGUCAGAGGCUCUAAACUUUCUUUGGUACUUACUGCCCUCAUGUGCACAACCCUUGUUAUUUGGGCAUGGGAGAAAACACCAGCUCUAUCUGUUAUAUUUCCACCACUAGAACGAUUUGAUAUUCUUUCUCCAGUAGUUCCUGCCAAAACUUCUGCGACUUCCUCAGAUGAUACACAUCGGCUGGCAUCUGCAGAUAAGAAUUUGUCAGCUGCAGAUGAAAUGGAGAGUUCAUCAUCUAAUGAAACAGAGCCUGUUCUCAGUCUUCCAGCAAGCGAGUCUUCAGCCACAAGCACACCUAAUAAUUCAACAUCUGAUAAAGAUCUGAAAGAGAGUCCCAUGCAGGAGAAAGAGUGUAAUUAUGCAAAAGGAAAAUGGGUUGCGGACACAAGACGACCUUUAUAUUCGGGUUCUGCUUGCAAGCAGUGGCUGUCAGGGAUGUGGGCAUGUAGGUUAAUGCAACGUACUGAUUUUUCGUAUGAGAAUUUUCGGUGGCAACCACAAGGUUGUGUGAUGCCAGAAUUCUCAAGGAGCGACUUUUUGAGAAGAAUGCAGAAUAAGACAAUUGCUCUGAUAGGAGAUUCUUUGGGAAGGCAGCAAUUCCAAUCUCUCAUGUGCAUGGUCACUGGUGGUGAAACAAGCCCAGAAGUGGAAGAUGUUGGAAAAGACUAUGGCCUUGUGAAAGCUCCUGGUGCCUUAAGACCUGAUGGUUGGGCUUAUCGGUUUCCAAGUACCAACACAACCAUUCUGUAUUAUUGGUCUGCAAGUUUAUGUGAACUGGAGCCUUUGAAUAAAUCAGACCCAGCUACCCAUUAUGCGUUGCAUCUUGACCGACCUGUAACAUUCUUAAAGCAGCAUCUUUGCAGGUUUGAUGUGUUGGUACUUAACACGGGGCACCACUGGAAUAGAGAGAAGUUCAGAGGAAACCGGUGGGAGAUGUAUGCUGGAGGGAUGCCAAUCACUGAUGGAGAGCUUGCAGACAUGAGGAACUUAAAAAAUCUCACUUUGCACAGUAUUGCUAAGUGGGUUGAUUCGCAGCUUUUGCAACAUCCACAGCUAAAAGCUUUUGUUAGGACAAUGUCCCCUAGGCAUUUUGUCAAUGGAGACUGGAACACCGGGGGAAGCUGUGACAACACUGUUCCAUUGGCUGGUGGAAGCGAGGUUUUACAAGAUCGUUCUAGUGAUCCUGUUGCUGAGGAUGCAAUCAAAGGAACAAGUGUUACGCUAUUGGAUAUUACAUCUUUGUCACAACUGAGAGACGAGGGACACAUAUCCAAAUACACUCUUAAGGCCUCAACAGGCAUGCAGGAUUGCUUGCAUUGGUGCCUUCCAGGUAUUCCUGAUACAUGGAACGAAAUACUCUAUGCACAAAUAUAGACGCAUCGAAAGGCAAACAUACUUUGUGAAGCAGCACAGUUGAAUGAUUCCAGAACACCUUUUCUCCAUACGAGUCAUUAUUGCAAGCUCAAUGGUUCUUGUUGGAAGUCAUCCCCUUUCUCUCAAUGGACCUUUGAGCAACUUUCCUGGAUCUCCAAAGAAUCAAUAUCAGCAGGAAUAUCCAAAGUACAUGUCACUAUAUUAGGUUGUUUUUUGCCGAAGACAUAGUUGAGAACUAAAACAUCAGCCUUUUGUUGGCUGAGAGCACUCCAUAUCUGUUUGCAGAAAUUAUGGUUUUCAGAACACAGAUUAUGAAUCACCUGACAAUUCUAUGAAGAGUUUCUUGCCUUGAUCAUGUAACUCUUAACUGCUUGGUUCUGAAGCAUUCAACAUAUAUAGUAAUUUCAAAUUUUGCUAUGCUCUGUUAUGGGGAUUCGUUAUCAUUCAUUAUUUUAGGUUGACUUGUUUUAUUUUCAAGACAUGAUUAGCU
This is an RNA transcript of Musa acuminata AAA Group (dessert banana), 2260 nucleotides long. It is a transcript of the gene named protein trichome birefringence-like 14, with no coding region annotated. Lineage: Eukaryota; Viridiplantae; Streptophyta; Magnoliopsida; Zingiberales; Musaceae. The record is from RefSeq and is a predicted model, not a curated record. The transcript is spliced from 6 exons.